This 406-nucleotide ribosomal RNA is filed under the name uncultured bacterium. RNAcentral's name for it is "partial 16S ribosomal RNA". It matches the Rfam family "Bacterial small subunit ribosomal RNA", at positions 30 to 526 of the family's 1533-position model. The record is from RNAcentral.
AUUGAACGCUGGCGGCAGGCCUAACACAUGCAAGUCGAACGAGUGGCGGACGGGUGAGUAAUGUCUGGGAAACUGCCCGAUGGAGGGGGAUAACUACUGGAAACGGUAGCUAAUACCGCAUACCAUCAGAUGAACCCAUAUGGGAUUAGCUUGUAGGUGAGGUAACGGCUCACCUAGGCGACGAUCCCUAGCUGGUCUGAGAGGAUGAUCAGCCACACUGGGACUGAGACACGGCCCAGACUCCUACGGGAGGCAGCAGUGGGGAAUAUUGCACAAUGGGCGCAAGCCUGAUACAGCCAUGCCGCGUGUAUGAAGAAGGCCUUAGGGUUGUAAAGUACUUUCAGCGGGGAGGCGUUACCCGCAGAAGAAGCACCGGCUAACUCCGUGCCAGCAGCCGCGGUAAUAC